UUACAGUUAGGUGAGGCUCCUACAGGGAUAAAUGCUGCUGCCCCGAAACAUGGAGACAUGCCAAUGGGGUCAACAGGUAUGAUCGGAUUAAGGUUUUACUUAACGUAGCUGGCAAAAAGCCAAAGCCCUGUAGUGCUAAAACUCAACGAUAU
Molecule: small RNA, 152 nt
Filed under: uncultured Clostridium sp.
Lineage: Bacteria; Bacillati; Bacillota; Clostridia; Eubacteriales; Clostridiaceae
Description: M-box riboswitch (ykoK leader)
Rfam family: M-box riboswitch aptamer (ykoK leader)
About the family: M-box riboswitch, also know as ykoK leader is described as a metaloregulatory RNA that sense divalent metals and function as a genetic control element of genes related to divalent metal transport in bacteria.
Source: RNAcentral